AAUUGAACGAUAUUAACACAAAAUAAAAUGAGUAGUUGGUUAUAUUUAAAUACCUUUUAAGUAUCGAGGUUUGCAAGUAUAUCCGAUAUACGUGCAAAUGGAGUUUGUGUUAAAUUUAAAUUUUGUUAAAAAAUAAGAAGUUUUUAAGAAAUUAUAAGAUGGAAAGAUAACCAAAAGAACACGUAAUUAGAGGGCCCCUUAGAGAAAAGCAAAAGGGUAUUUUUGUAAAAAUGUGAAUGUAGUUGUUGAUAAGGGCGGAGUAAGUGGCGUCAUGUAACGGCAUAUUAUUGGUGGAUAAUUUAAUUAAGGCGCUAGAAAGGCGGGACUGUAGAGGAAACAAAAACCGGGUGCGGGUGGCCGGUGGCGCCGCCUAAUGAUUUUAAAACCGGCGGUCUUUGCAUAAUGACCAUUUUAUCGAGCAUGCCUAUCGAGAUUAUCUAGCACUUAUCGGAUAAGGAAUGUCUAAUCAUAGUAGAGCAGUGAUGGGAUAUUAUAUUAGGAGAGUAAAAUUAAACAUAAGAGCUAAUCAUUUGUUUAUUAAUGAGAAUAUUGAAUUAUUAUAUGUAUAUGUGCAGUCCACAUUCAGAGAAUUCCUAACAAAACAAAUAUUUAGAAUGUUACAAUAUGCUUUUAUAUAAUAGUUUUGAAAGGAGGUUAAUUUUUUACAAGCAAGUUGAUCUGUGCAAAAACUGCGUGGAGGGUAAGUCUAAUUCACUAAAUACAGCUUCCCAACUGCUAAAAUAUGGGUUCAAAUCAAUCACUGCCAAAACAAACGUUGCUCCAUUCCUUGCACCUAAUUAAUUUGCUCCCAAGGUGUCCAAAAGAGGAAAAUGAGUUCACCAGUGAUUCCUUUUUAAGCAAAUAUUAUGUAUAUUUUAGCCUUUUGAUUAUUUUUUUUUUGUUAAAAACCCAUCCAUCAAUCAGUUCCUAAUGAUAUUGCCAUUCAUUUUGCUCGUGGGACGACAUACACACAGAAUACAGAGAUCAAUCCCAUAAGGGUUUAGGGAUGACAGUAAAACAAGAUUAGGCAAAUAAUAGGAAUAAUCACAGAAUACACAAAAGCUUUGGAUAUUUUAUUAACUAUAAUACAUUGUCUUUCCACUUACUUGUAUUUAUAUCAGGCUGUGCAUUAUCGGACUGGAUAUGAAUGAAUUUUAGGUUUCAGAACUGGACCACCAUUAGCCGUGAAAAAAGCUUGACCUAAUAUUAGAAAGAGCUGCUUGCGUGAAUGAUAUAAAAUGCUAGUAGCAUGAGAUCUGGUCACUUUGCGAACAUUAGAUGAAAGAAUCGGUUUUCCAAUUGAUUCUCUAGAGAGACACACAUCAAGAUGCGUAAUUCAUUAAGCCAGUUUUACGUUAGGUUGGUAAAAAGAGAAUCUAGCACUAAAUUGGUACUAAAACGACCUGAAUGCCAUUCAAAACACAAAUUUUUACUCAAAAUUCCUGGUUUCAUGCUUUUGAAAAGGUUUAGGGCAUUCAAAUGAUUAAAGUUUUAGCUUUUUUCGGCUAUGAAUAGGAUGGAACGGUACUGAUAAGAAUAAUCGUCCAAAUUCCAGAAGGAAUGACCCACAGGUCACUGUAUAAUCUAAGAAGUGUGUGGAAGUAAAGUAAAAUUAAUGGUCAAAGAAAGAGAAUCAACUGUUACCUACCUCUCAAAUUAACCCUUGACUUCAACGCUCUUUCAGAUAUUCCUUGCCUGCAACUUCAAUGUAUGAAGAGACUACGACCCGUUUUGAGAUUUCUAUUACUAGAACUGAUAAAUCAAAAAUGAAACUGUCAGCCUCUCUCGAAAAGAAGAACACUCUCAGCCCCGAUAAAUCACCAUUUUUUUGUUCUUAG
This 1838-nucleotide unclassified non-coding RNA is filed under the name Hevea brasiliensis (rubber tree). Lineage: Eukaryota; Viridiplantae; Streptophyta; Magnoliopsida; Malpighiales; Euphorbiaceae. The record is from RNAcentral.